ACAUACUCAUGAACAGGGCUUUCCCUUAUGGAUUUCAGAGACCUUAGAUGGCUUUGGGAACCUGCAGUCUCCCUUGGGAAACAUGGAAAGUUCAUGUGCCCUUUUUGCCCAAAAUGGUUUUCUUGUGUAUGGAUCACAGUGAUAAAAUCUCUCUGCAAUUAGGAAUGAUGCCACAAGGACCUUUCUUGGGUCCCUGCGAUACUGGCUAGCUGGGACACCUUGACAACUUCCUGUGCAUGCACUGUCAUCUGCAGCAGCCACUCAUGCUCCCUACCACGUUGACUUGUUUCCUGGUCACUGUCUCAAUCCAGGGUUUUCCAACUUCUUCCAUUUUUGAGUACAAGAAACUUAUAUAAAAGAUGAUGACUCAGCAUGGUGAACACUUCUUUCUACAGAAAAUCAAGCGAAGAAAACCUGUCCAGGUAAAGCAUUUGUUGAGAAUUUCUGUAGCAUCCCCACCAACUUACACUUAGGUGACCUUGCCAAGUGAGUGGCUUCCCUCUGCAAAGUAACAGUCAGUCUGCUGCAGAUCUGGCGUCCCACGUUGCCCAGAAUAAGAUAAUCUCAGUUGCAAUUCACGUCUUUUUUGCGAACAGAGCUGCUCCUUCACCUCAGACACAGCUAGCAUGUGUUGCAAAAUCUGACAGAUUCAACCCAAAUCAAUGCAUGUGGAAGAAUUGAGAGUACCUCAAAGUGCAGCUGUUGUCAGCCACCCUGCCUCAGUUUACACAGCAAACUGCUUGAAAUGAGGACUUGGUUCUGAAGUUUGAAGCCAGGGUGUAAGCAAGGGUCAUUUGCUCUCGGGGCUGAGAGAAGGAUUUGCUUGACAACAUUCUCUUUGGUUUGUAGAUAGCCAUCUGCUUGUUGGCACAUUAUUCUCCCUGUAUGAUGGUCUGCCCUCUAAUUUCCUCUCUUUACAUGGGCAUCAGCCAUACCAGAUUAGGGCAAAUCCUAUUGACCUCAUCUUAAACUGAUUACUACUGCAAAGACUCUCCUUCCAAGGAAGGUCACAUUUAUAAGCACAGAGGUUGGAUUUCACCAGAAGAGCAAAGGAGGGGAUUGGUUCAGUACAUAACACACUUUCUCAUUUUUAUUGACUCGUGGCUUAAAGUUUUACUUAUUUUCUGUAUAUGCAUGAAGUGAUAUAAAUUUGUAUUAGUAAGCGAAAUUGUUGCUAGUUUUUCAAACCUAAAUGGAUUUAAAUAGUUAAGAGAAAUACUCGAAACUUAGGGUUUAUUGUUAGCUAUUUUAAUUUUGACAAUCAACAGUUUCCACAAUAUAAUAUAGAGUGUGAAUUAUGGAAUGCCCACACAUCCUGCAAGCACCAGAACUGAUGGCACUGAAUGCUACUUCAUCCAUAGGCAGAGUAAAGCAUUGUUGGCCUGUUGUGUAGAUGCUGGAAAGUGCUCAGACCUCCAAAGUGUGUGGCUAAUUUGCAGAUGAGGUCUGAUAUCUCAGAAAAAUUUCUACCUCACAGUAAUGUACAGAUAUUCCAGACAGUGAGGGAAUAUCAAACCAGUUAUCAGCUGAAAAACUGUCAACUAUAACCUUGCGAGUUUUCUUCCAUUCAAUGGCCUGGUAGACCAUUCAUUUCUUCCAUUCAUUGUCCGACACGUUCCCUGUCUGUCACCUCCACAGGCAUCGUAGCACAUUUUCUGAUGCUAGAACCAGAGAGCAAAAACUGAAUAAAUUAUUUAAAAAUUGAA
Non-coding RNA from Rattus norvegicus (Norway rat), 1706 nucleotides. NCBI's taxonomy places the organism in Eukaryota, Metazoa, Chordata, Mammalia, Rodentia, Muridae. The record is from RefSeq and is a predicted model, not a curated record.